RNAcentral lists this ribosomal RNA (467 nucleotides) under uncultured bacterium. Its description in RNAcentral is "partial 16S ribosomal RNA". It matches the Rfam family "Bacterial small subunit ribosomal RNA", at positions 29 to 507 of the family's 1533-position model. The record is from RNAcentral.
ACGAACGCUGGCGGCGUGCUUAACACAUGCAAGUCGAACGGAAAGGCCCUGCUUUUGUGGGGUGCUCGAGUGGCGAACGGGUGAGUAACACGUGAGUAACCUGCCCUUGACUUUGGGAUAACUUCAGGAAACUGGGGCUAAUACCGGAUAGGAGCUCCUGCUGCAUGGUGGGGGUUGGAAAGUUUCGGCGGUUGGGGAUGGACUCGCGGCUUAUCAGCUUGUUGGUGGGGUAGUGGCUUACCAAGGCUUUGACGGGUGGCCGGCCUUAGAGGGUGACCGGCCACAUUGGGACUGGGAUACGGCCCAGACUCCUACGGGAGGCAGCAGUGGGGAAUAUUGCACAAUGGGCGGAAGCCUGAUGCAGCAACGCCGCGUGCGGGAUGACGGCCUUCGGGUUGUAAACCGCUUUCGCCUGUGACGAAGCGUGAGUGACGGUAAUGGGUAAAGAAGCACCGGCUAACUACGUG